UGGGAGAAGAAUCUUGCCCGGCAUUUGCACACUGGGAAGCCAGCCCUUUGUACAGCUUCGCCAUGGAUGACCUAACGGAAUGGAGGUGUUACAAGCCCUGUAGGAAAAUGGUGUGAAGAAGUCAGCUUACCAGCGUCUCCAUGCUGCUUCUGUGACACAAGACAUAAGCAAUGUUUGGUAGACCCUUGGACCCAAGCCAAGAGAAAGUAGUCAGGAUAGCAGGAAUAAAUCUCCCAGGACUCCUUGGCGUGGCCACUUCAAGACCCUUUCCUGCAGAGCAUGAAGCAAAUCCAGGUGCUGCUGGACAAGGUACCGUAAAGAGCCAGGGAAGAGGCUUGAAACAGAAUAGAGAGAGGAUCACACAAACCAGGUGUACAAAAGAAAAGGCUCUACAAGAAUAUAUGGAGGGGGACCCAUUUUCCCAUUGAAAAUAUUCUGAGUCACAGGUCUGUAUCUCGGAUUAAAAAAAAAAGUUUGGAGUUCCUGUCAUAGCGCAGUGGUUAAUCGACUAGGAGCCAUGAGGUUGCCGGU
This is a non-coding RNA of Sus scrofa (pig), 531 nucleotides long. The record is from RefSeq and is a predicted model, not a curated record. Lineage: Eukaryota; Metazoa; Chordata; Mammalia; Artiodactyla; Suidae.